CAGUCGUACCUUCGGGUAAUCAGCCUUUCGGGUGCGAUUCUGUGGAGUUUGAGGAGCUUAACACCUUCAUGCUUUUGCAUAUUCGUGCUCUUGGGUGUACUUGCCCGUGUGGUUGGUUAACAUCAAUUUUGGUCGUCAUAAAAUGACUGGAGGAAUGUAGCUUUGGUCUCGUAUCGAAGUGUUAUAGACUCUGGUAGAUGUGACGAUUGGGGAUU
RNAcentral lists this ribosomal RNA (215 nucleotides) under Rhizophagus irregularis. The record is from RNAcentral. Lineage: Eukaryota; Fungi; Glomeromycota; Glomeromycetes; Glomerales; Glomeraceae.